UGAGUAACACGCAUGCAAUCCACCUGUAACAGGGGGAUAACCCGGAGAAAUCCGGACUAAUACCCCAUAAUAUGGGCGCUCCGCAUGGAGAGCCCAUUAAAGAGAGCAAUUUUGGUUACAGACGAGCAUGCGCUCCAUUAGCCAGUUGGCGGGGUAACGGCCCACCAAAGCGACGAUGGAUAGGGGUUCUGAGAGGAAGGUCCCCCACAUUGGAACUGAGACACGGUCCAA
Molecule: ribosomal RNA, 231 nt
Filed under: uncultured bacterium
Lineage: Bacteria
Description: partial 16S ribosomal RNA
Rfam family: Bacterial small subunit ribosomal RNA
Source: RNAcentral